GACGAACGCUGGCGGCGUGCUUAACACAUGCAAGUCGAACGGUGAAGCGCCUUCCUUUUUGGUGGGUGUGGAUGAGUGGCGAACGGGUGAGUAACACGUGAGUAACCUGCCCCCUUCUUCUGGAUAACCGCAUGAAAGUGUGGCUAAUACGGGAUAUUCUGGGUCUGUCGCAUGAUGGGUCUGGGAAAGAUAUUGUUUCGGUGGGGGAUGGGCUCGCGGCCUAUCAGCUUGUUGGUGGGGUGAUGGCCUACCAAGGCGGUGACGGGUAGCCGGCCUGAGAGGGUGGACGGUCACACUGGGACUGAGACACGGCCCAGACUCAUACGGGAGGCAGCAGUGGGGAAUAUUGCACAAUGGGCGCAAGCGUGAUGCAGCGACGCCGCGUGAGGGAUGGAGGCCUUCGGGUUGUGAACCUCUUUCGCCAGUGAAGCAGGCCUGCCUCGUUUGUGGGUGGGUUGACGGUAGCUGGAUAAGAAGCGCCGGCUAACUACGUG
This 494-nucleotide ribosomal RNA is filed under the name uncultured bacterium. Its description in RNAcentral is "partial 16S ribosomal RNA". It matches the Rfam family "Bacterial small subunit ribosomal RNA", at positions 28 to 507 of the family's 1533-position model. The record is from RNAcentral.